CGUGUAGGCGGUAUGGUAAGUCAGAUGUGAAAGCCCUGGGCUUAACCUAGGAAGUGCAUUUGAUACUGCCAUUCUUGAGUAUGGGAGAGGAGAGUGGAAUUCCCAGUGUAGAGGUGAAAUUCGUAGAUAUUGGGAGGAACAUCCGUGGCGAAGGCGACUCUCUGGACCAAUACUGACGCUGAGACGUGAAAGCGUGGGUAGCAAACA
RNAcentral lists this ribosomal RNA (207 nucleotides) under uncultured bacterium. RNAcentral's name for it is "partial 16S ribosomal RNA". It matches the Rfam family "Bacterial small subunit ribosomal RNA", at positions 568 to 774 of the family's 1533-position model. The record is from RNAcentral.